UUUCGAAUCGUUCGCAAUGGGCGAAAGCCUGACGACGCAACGCCGCGUGGGGGAUGAAGGCCUUCGGGUCGUAAACCCCUGUCAUCAAGGAGCAAAAUCCGGUGAAGAGCCGGCCUGAGUUAACUUGAAGAGGAAGAGGUGGCUAACUCCGUGCCAGCAGCCGCGGUAAUACGGAGACCUCGAGCGUUACUCGGAUUCACUGGGCGUAAAGCGUGCGUAGGCGGUUGGAUGUGUCAGGUGUGAAAGUCUAUGGCUUAACCAUAGAAUUGCGCCUGAAACUAUCUAACUUGAGUACUGGAGAGGUAAGUAGAAUUCCCGGUGUAGCGGUGAAAUGCGUAGAUAUCGGGAGGAAUACCAAUGGCGAAGGCAGCUUACUGGACAGAUACUGACGCUGAGGCACGAAAGCGUGGGGAGCGAAAGGGAUUAGAUACCCCCGUAGUCC
This 442-nucleotide ribosomal RNA is filed under the name uncultured prokaryote. Its description in RNAcentral is "bacterial SSU rRNA". It matches the Rfam family "Bacterial small subunit ribosomal RNA", at positions 355 to 796 of the family's 1533-position model. The record is from RNAcentral.